Molecule: ribosomal RNA, 2002 nt
Filed under: Euglena viridis
Lineage: Eukaryota; Euglenozoa; Euglenophyceae; Euglenales; Euglenaceae
Description: SSU rRNA
Rfam family: Eukaryotic small subunit ribosomal RNA
Source: RNAcentral
UUACAUCAGCAGUCAUCUAUGUGAUAGCGUGUGGUUGGCACCACCUGCCAGGUGCCCAGUUGGACAUCCUCCAAAACCUUGUGGCUAAUACACGCCUGCAACGGUCGGCCACAGCACAUGGGGUUGGUGGGGCUCCCCUCACUGAUCACAUGGUGGUGGAUUACGCCCAGUCGACAUGAAGACCAGUGCCCCCCAAGGGCAGCUUGCUGUUUGUUGACUCAGACUGGAUCCCUUUGGAUCGGUCGCGCUGGCAGAGUGGUGGCUUUGGCCACAUAAUCGCUUGAUCACACGAACUUCUGACCUAUCAGCCUGGACUGUGGUGUAGUGGACCACAGUGGCUAUGACGGGUAACGGAGAAUUAGGGUUUGAUUCCGGAGAGGGAGCCUGAGAGACGGCUACCACUACCAAGGUGGGCAGCAGGCGCGCAAAUUGCCCAAUGCAAAAACAUUUCUGUGAGGCAGCGACGAUCCGCAGCAAUCCUGCCAACUCAUUUGUUGGUGGGACUUGGAAUGGAUGCAAUCCAAACACAGUGAUGAGUAUCAACUGGAGGGCAAGUCUGGUGCCAGCAGCUGCGGUAAUUCCAGCUCCAAGGGCGUAUACUAUCAUUGCUGCUGUUAAAACACCUGUAGUCUGCCACUGGGUUGCAGGUCUGCUGGGUGGCCGGCCCAGUCUGUGUGGGGUUUGGGACUCCCUCGGGGGCCCUGGGCUCUGUGCUGGUUGGUGCUGGAACUCAACCCCCAGCGGUAUGCUCCUGCACCCGAAUUCAUGACGGUGAGAACUGCUCCUGCUGAAAGUCCCCUUCAUUGGGGGCCAAGGCGGUCAUGCCCCAGACGCAGGUGUGGGCCCGUCGACACCCAGGCCCUGUGCCUUGGGAAACUCUGGCAAGCCCACCACCGGAGCCGACCGUUACUGAUACCGUGGAAAACUCAGUGUGCUCCAAGCGUCCUGCUAUGGCUGGAUGCCCGUCCAUGGAAUAUCAAAGCAUCGACCGAGUGUGGCACUGGAGUUGUGCUGGCCUUGGAACCCGCUCAGGGCAAUGUGGUGCAUGCAUCCUGCCUGCUCAGGGUGGCCCCUGUGGUCAUCCCUGACUGGCCUGAAGCUUGUGCCAACCGCAGAUGAUGGGACCGCUCAGGGUGAAAGAUAUUGCAACGCCAGAGGUGAAAUUCUUAGACCGCUGCAAGAUCAACUGCAGCGAAGGCGUUCUGCAAGUGCGUGUUCGUCGAUCAAGGAUGAGAGUCUGGGGAGCAAAGAUGAUCAGACACCGUCGUAGUCCCGCACUGUAAACCGUGCCAGCCCGGCCUCAGAUGGGAAAGUCCAACGACCUGUCUGGGUGCCACGCCCCCUUCAAAGAGAAAUCCACAGCCUGUGGGUUCAGGGGGGAGUACCGUCGCAAGGCUGAAACUUAAAGGAAUUGACGGAAUGGCACCACAAGGCGUGGAGUAUGCGGCUUAAUUUGACUCAACACGGGGAAUGUUACCAGGUCAGGACGCAGCUGGGAUGGACAGAUUGAGAGCUCUUUCUUGAUCCUGUGGACGGUGGUGCAUGGCCGCUCCUGAUUGGUGGAGUGAUUUGUCUGGUUGAUUCCGAUAACGAGUGAGAUAUCUGCCUCCCAAUAGCCUCUGGCUCGCAAUUGGUAGGGUCUGACCAGGGUUUCAUAACCAGUGUCUGGUGCCUGGGCCAAAACCCAGGUCUGGGCACUGGCUUUCCCUGGUUCCCGAGAGCCAGCUGAUCAGCUUCUCUGAGGUGCUGUGUACGCUACCAAGUGCAUGCAUGCUAGAGCCAACAGCAGGUCUGUGAUGCUCCCAGAUGUCCUGGGCCGCACGCGCACUACACUGAUCCAGUGAAGGAGUCUUGUGCCUGCUUUGUCAGGCCCUGGCUGGAAGUGGCUGGGAAAUCCUGCAAGCCUGGAUCGUGCUGGGGAUAGAUGAUUGCAACUGUCUGCCUUGAACUUGGAAUGCCUAGUAUGCGUUGGUCAUCAGCCAACACAGAUUGUGUCCCUGCC